GACGAACGCUGGCGGCGUGCCUAAUACAUGCAAGUCGAACGCUCAAGGAGGAGCUUGCUUCUCUGGAUGAGUUGCGAACGGGUGAGUAAGGCGUAGGUAACCUGCCUUGAAGCGGGGGAUAACUAUUGGAAACGAUAGCUAAUACCGCAUAAUAGUAGAUGUUGCAUGACAUUUGCGUAAGAGGUGCAAUUGCAUCACUACCAGGUGGACCUGCGUUGUAUUAGCUAGUUGUUGGGGUAAGGGUUAACCAAGGCGACGAGACAUAGCCGACCUGAGAGGGUGAUCGGCCAAGCUGGGACGGGAGCACGGCCCGGACCACUGGGGGAGGCAGCAGUAGGGGACCUUCGGGGAUGGACGGAAGGCUGACCGAGCAACGCUGGGGGAGUGAAUAAGGUUUUCGGGUCGUAAAGGUCAGUUGUAAGAGAAGAUCGAGAGUGAGAGUGGAAAGUGCCCACUGUGACGGUAUCUGACCAAUAAGGGACGGCUAACUACGUG
Molecule: ribosomal RNA, 495 nt
Filed under: uncultured bacterium
Lineage: Bacteria
Description: partial 16S ribosomal RNA
Rfam family: Bacterial small subunit ribosomal RNA
Source: RNAcentral